Non-coding RNA from Leptonychotes weddellii (Weddell seal), 377 nucleotides. Lineage: Eukaryota; Metazoa; Chordata; Mammalia; Carnivora; Phocidae. The record is from RefSeq and is a predicted model, not a curated record.
UAGGGGCCCCCAAGGGAGAGGGCAUGGGCGAAGGGUAACAGACUGUCUUUAUCCUCCAGCUGGAUCUCAUUUGCCAAAUCCUGGAAACCAGCUGGAGGAAACAUCAUCUUCACCCCUCGGUUCUCCACUUCAGCAAGCAGGCCAGUGCUGCUGAAUUUACAGUCUUUCACAUCAUGACCAGGAUUCUGGAAGCUACUACGAGUUUGUUUUUACCUCUGCCUCCUGCCAAUAUGUAGAUGGUGCCCGUUUUGUGCCAGUUGCUGUAAGUACUUUACAUAAGUAAGCACAUUCAAUUUUCCUAACAGUCCUAAAUGGUAGGAGCUUAACACGAACCACAUUAAAUUGUCAAUAUCCAACCAGUUUUUGACUUAAAAAAA